AAACACCUUGUUACGGCAUGAGGACAAUCCCAGCCACCCAUUAUCAACCAUUGGAGAAUAUAUUUCUAAGAAGUUUAGGAGCCUUUGAUAUGACACUUAU
Molecule: long non-coding RNA, 100 nt
Organism: Haliotis rubra (blacklip abalone)
Lineage: Eukaryota; Metazoa; Mollusca; Gastropoda; Lepetellida; Haliotidae
Exons: 3
Source: RefSeq, a predicted model, not a curated record